RNAcentral lists this transfer RNA (82 nucleotides) under Danio rerio (zebrafish). It matches the Rfam family "tRNA". Rfam says of the family: Transfer RNA (tRNA) molecules are approximately 80 nucleotides in length. Their secondary structure includes four short double-helical elements and three loops (D, anti-codon, and T loops). The record is from Rfam by way of RNAcentral. Lineage: Eukaryota; Metazoa; Chordata; Actinopteri; Cypriniformes; Danionidae.
GAUAGAGUAGCCAAGGGGUCUAAGGCGCUGGAUUUAGGCUCCAGUCUCUUCGGGGGCGUGGGUUCGAAUCCCACUGUUGCCA